CUACGGGACGCUGCAGUGGGGAAUAUUGGACAAUGGGGGAAACCCUGAUCCAGCAAUGCCGCGUGUGUGAAGAAGGCCUGCGGGUUGUAAAGCACUUUCGGUUGGGAGGACUGCUUCUAGCACUAAUAUUGUUGGAAGUUGACGUUACCUUCAGAAGAAGCACCGGCUAACUCCGUGCCAGCAGCCGCGGUAAUACGGGAGGGUGCAAGCGUUAAUCGGAAUUACGGGGCGUAAAGCGCGCGUAGGCGGCUAGAUCAGUCGGGUGUGAAAGCCCCGGGCUUAACCUGGGAACUGCAUCCGAUACUGUCUAGCUUGAGGACAGGAGAGGAGAGUGGAAUUCCACAUGUAGCGGUGAAAUGCGUAAAUAUGUGGAGGAACACCAAUGGCGAAGGCAGCUCUCUGGCCUGAUACUGACGCUGAGGUGCGAAAGCGUGGGGAGCAAACAGGAUUAGAUACCCUUGUAGUC
This 466-nucleotide ribosomal RNA is filed under the name uncultured bacterium. RNAcentral describes it as "partial 16S ribosomal RNA". It matches the Rfam family "Bacterial small subunit ribosomal RNA", at positions 339 to 795 of the family's 1533-position model. The record is from RNAcentral.